UACGGGGGGAGCAAGCGUUGUUCGGAUUUACUGGGCGUAAAGGGCGCGUAGGCGGCGCAACAAGUCACUUGUGAAAUCUUCAGGCUUAACCUGAAGCGGCCAAGUGAUACUGUCGUGCUAGAGUGCGGAAGGGGCAACUGGAAUUCUUGGUGUAGCGGUGAAAUGCGUAGAUAUCAAGAGGAACACCGGUGGCGAAGGCGGGUCUCUGGGCCGAUACUGACGCUGAGGAGCGAAAGCGUGGGGAGCGAACAGG
Molecule: ribosomal RNA, 253 nt
Filed under: uncultured bacterium
Lineage: Bacteria
Description: partial 16S ribosomal RNA
Rfam family: Bacterial small subunit ribosomal RNA
Source: RNAcentral